GUCCGGGACACGGCUUUCCGGAGUAGAGCCCUUGGAGGUGUUAAGUGUGAUGCUUCCAUAAUACAUUUGGAUGCUGUCAGCUAAGUUCACUUCUGAACUAAGGGGUUCCUCCAAAUGUUGGCUGAAAUUCAUCCCAAGGCUGGUCUGCAAGUGAGUGUCUGCACACAGUUUGCUUGUAUGUGGAGUCGAUCCAAAAUAGCAUCAAUGUUGGUUUUACCAAAGUAUUUAUUAUUGAUAAUAGAGGCUAAGUACAAAAUGUAGAGAAUGUCAGCUACUUGAGGCCUUUGAUUAUUAAAAAUUUUAUUAAUGCAUUAAACAAGAGUACAGUAAAUAGAUAAAUUUUAGGUUCAUGAAAUAAAACUGAAUAAUUUAUUUUUACUUACUAUUUAUCAUGGAAUUACUUUGAAUAAUUUAUUUUUAAUGGUAUAAUUGGACAGUAAAAUUUAUAAACUCAGUGCUUUUCAUAAAAAUCAAAGUGAAGUUUGUAAUAUUUUAUACAAAUAGAAUUAUUAUUUAAGAGAAAUAACCUGUUUAUGCCUAAUUACAGUUUUUAAUCAUUUCAGUUACCUAUUUCUUUUAAGAAUAAAUUUAGUGGGAAUAUCAGUUCCAGUCAUGGGUACCAAACUUUUUUAGUGACAGAGUACACACAGGUAUGUAAAACUUGUCAUUUCUCAUCAAAUAGAGGCUGCUGAAUAUAGGCAGGUAAGAAAAGCUAUGAGAAAGAAUUGUUUUGCAGAAUAUUUGUCUAGUUGUCAGAGCAAGGAACUGAAUUUAUUGACACAGAACAUUUUAUUAAGUAAAAAAAAUGGUUCUUAUAACAAAAAAAAAAGCUAAUUUUACAGAAGGCAGUAGUUAAUAUAGCCGCCAAUAAAAUAAAUGUUUCUCUGAAUACUUUCCGAGGCAUUACAGUGAUUUUUAACUAAUAUGAAGUGAUAUAUAAUAAUUUUAAAGUAACAUCCUUGAGUUUUCCUAUUAUUAAUUGCUUAUGGAAAUUGGGUUUCACGUAUGACUGAGAGCUAAAGCAUUACAGUGAGUUAGAAAACACAACACAAAUGUAAAGAAAAUGUUAGGUGGUGAGUAAUCUGAUUCCUUUUUGUUUGCCUUUAAGCUUAGUUUUUUGUUUUGUUUUACUUUGUUUUAAACCAUGUAUAAAAUUGUUGAAUUUAAAAGAUAAGAGGAUUAAGUAAUUUCUUUUUUCCUCCUAAGGAUAAAUGUAGGAAAAAUCUAAACACAUAGGCAGAUUGGUUGAGUUUUAUAUCUGUUAUCGGCCACAUUUAUUAAGAUUCAUAUUUCAUGUAUAUUAGAGGUAUUCACAUGUAUUAAAAUUCUUAUAUUCCUUCUAUAUAAAAUAGAUGUAGGGGGUUCCCACUCUUGAAAAUAUGAAGAAAAGAUGUCCUUUCAGCAAUAAUGGGUUAUGGUUGAUUAACUGAGAAGGUUGUAUUAAACGUUCUCUAGUAGAAAUGGCUAAAGAGCAUGCUUUUUGAGAAGUGUAUCAUCUAGGAAGAAAAUCAAAUGGAGUAUUGGUAAUUAAAUUGUAAUUCCAUGAAGGAAGGAAGUGGUGCAAAAGAUGAAGCUAACUAUUCCUGUUUUUCUUUUUAAGAGUCUGCAAUUCAUAAUGGAGCUACUGUACUGGCUAUUGGAAGGAGGAGAUUCUGAAGAUAAGGAGGAUGCCACUGGAAAUGUUGAAAUGAAAAAUAUUCAGCCGUUGGUCUUUGAAAUUUCCUGUGAUGUGUUUCAAUCUAGAUGCAAAGAACAUGGAAAAAUCAAAGUGCUCGAGUGGUUUAAAUAUGUUUUGGGUAUUCCUGUUUAUAGACUAUAAUACUUUUCCAAUUAAAAUCCUCAGUUGUCACGCAGAAGAAGGUUAAGCUGUAUUUGAUUGCCAGUUUUACUGAAAAUGCUUAGUAUUUUACAGUAUCACCAAAUAUAUUUUGUUUAGCCAAGGUAUAGGAAAAAUAAAAUAAAUUGUAUAGGUUGACUUUU
Molecule: long non-coding RNA, 1980 nt
Organism: Homo sapiens (human)
Lineage: Eukaryota; Metazoa; Chordata; Mammalia; Primates; Hominidae
Gene: CRNDE
Product: colorectal neoplasia differentially expressed
Source: Ensembl